This 448-nucleotide ribosomal RNA is filed under the name uncultured bacterium. Its description in RNAcentral is "SSU rRNA". It matches the Rfam family "Bacterial small subunit ribosomal RNA", at positions 26 to 518 of the family's 1533-position model. The record is from RNAcentral.
AGAGCGAACGCUGGCGGCAGGCUUAACACAUGCAAGUCGAGCGGGCGUAGCAAUACGUCAGCGGCAGACGGGUGAGUAACGCGUGGGAACGUACCUUUUGGUUCGGAACAACCCAGGGAAACUUGGGCUAAUACCGGAUAAGCCCUUACGGGGAAAGAUUUAUCGCCGAAAGAUCGGCCCGCGUCUGAUUAGCUAGUUGGUGGGGUAAUGGCCCACCAAGGCGACGAUCAGUAGCUGGUCUGAGAGGAUGAUCAGCCACAUUGGGACUGAGACACGGCCCAAACUCCUACGGGAGGCAGCAGUGGGGAAUAUUGGACAAUGGGCGCAAGCCUGAUCCAGCCAUGCCGCGUGAGUGAUGACGGCCUUAGGGUUGUAAAGCUCUUUCGCUCGGGACGAUAAUGACGGUACCGAGAUAAGAAGCCCCGGCUAACUUCGCGCCAGCAGCCGC